GGGUACUACGAGCAUAAGCUUAAAACCCAAAGGACUUGGCGGUGCUUUAGAUCCACCUAGAGGAGCCUGUUCUAGAACCGAUAACCCCCGUUAAACCUCACCUUCCCUUGCCCCUCCCGCCUAUAUACCGCCGUCGUCAGCAUACCCUGUGAAGGAACAACAGUAAGCAAAAUUGGUACAGCCUAAAACGCCAGGUCGAGGUGUAGCACAUGAGAAGGAAAGAAAUGGGCUACAUUUCCUUUUUAAGGAAACACGAAUUGUGUUUUGAAAAAACCACAUGAAGGAGGAUUUAGCAGUAAGUAAGAAAAAGAGAGUCUUGCUGAACCCGGCCCUGAAGCGCGCACACACCGCCCGUCACUCUCCCCAAGCCACUAAACAACCAUCUUUAAUAAACAAGAUAGGCAAAGGGGAGGCAAGUCGUAACAUGGUAAGUGUACCGGAAGGUGCACUUGGAAAAAU
RNAcentral lists this ribosomal RNA (459 nucleotides) under Aphanius dispar dispar. RNAcentral describes it as "partial 12S ribosomal RNA". It matches the Rfam family "Bacterial small subunit ribosomal RNA", at positions 875 to 1533 of the family's 1533-position model. The record is from RNAcentral. Lineage: Eukaryota; Metazoa; Chordata; Actinopteri; Cyprinodontiformes; Aphaniidae.